CGGAUCGCCUACCCCACCGNAGGUUANAGGUAAGAGCCUUANCACUCUAUGAACCUGCNAGGCUGUCACUUCCGGUNAGUACCGACUAUGUGCUUCCGGCGUUGCGGGACCCGCCGCANAAGUAGUCGCUGGGGAAUCAACGAGGCGGGCAUGAGGUAGGGGGUAGAGAGACACUACCGCGAAUCAUAGGUGGGCGGAGUCGUCCCAGUCGGCCCUGUGGUAGAUAGCCUUCCUAUACGAACGAGUCGGAGUAUGUAUUGGGAAUGCAGCUCUAAAUGGGUGGUAAAUAUUCAUACUAAAGAGCUAAAUAUUGGCNNGAGACCGAUAGCGNACAAGUAGAGUGAUNCGAAAGAUGAAAAGCACUUUGAAAAGAGAGUUAAAAAGAAGGUUGAAAUGGUGGAAAGGGAAAGNNGCUUUNGAAGGAACCANGAAUUCGCUCCNGCGGGGCUNUCACGGGCGGUCGNUANCGGNUUAGCCCGGAGUNAUAAUNUUUUCCCCGCGGAGUGGGGCNGUGACUNGAGGUAGGUACGAGGAAAUGGGUACGGGACCGUGUUCGCAGAAUGGUCUUCAAUANGGAAUUUCGUUAUGGUGNCGCCUUNCACGUUGCUAGGCCUUGUAAAUAUGGACCGGGAGGGCGGUCGCAAGUUGGCGCGCUUCAAUGGGCGCCUGGGGGACGCCUAGCGAAACCCUUCCCCUCUUCACGAGCAUNGAAAAUUUGCUUGGGAUUUAAAAUUGGUCUUAA
This 742-nucleotide ribosomal RNA is filed under the name Aspergillus sp. ML-C2.6. RNAcentral's name for it is "partial large subunit ribosomal RNA". It matches the Rfam family "Eukaryotic large subunit ribosomal RNA", at positions 1 to 630 of the family's 3401-position model. The record is from RNAcentral. Lineage: Eukaryota; Fungi; Ascomycota; Eurotiomycetes; Eurotiales; Aspergillaceae.